CACUGCUCAAUAAAACAGUUAUGGUUUAUUUGGUGGUUCAUUGCUACUUGGAUAACCGUAGUAAUUCUAGAGCUAAUACAUGCGCGAAGGAGCGACUUACGAAGCUCUGUAUUUAUUAUAUUAAAGCCAAUCCCUUUGGGUCGUGGUGAAUCAUANUAACUUCUCGGAUCGGCGGCCCUGUUGCCAGCGACGUGUCAUUCAAAUUUCUGCCCUAUCAGCUUUAGAUGGUAGGAUAUGGGCCUACCAUGGCGGUGACGGGUGACGGAAAAUUAGGGUUCGAUUCCGGAGAGGGAGCCUGAGAAACGGCUACCACUUCUAAGGAAGGCAGCAGGCGCGCAAAUUACCCAAUCCUGAUUCAGGGAGGUAGUGACAAGAAAUAACAAUANNUCGCCCUANUGGUNAGCUAAUUGGAAUGAGUACAAUUUAAACAUCUUAACCAGCACCAAUU
RNAcentral lists this ribosomal RNA (448 nucleotides) under uncultured marine eukaryote. RNAcentral's name for it is "bacterial SSU rRNA". It matches the Rfam family "Eukaryotic small subunit ribosomal RNA", at positions 91 to 549 of the family's 1831-position model. The record is from RNAcentral.